GAUGAACGCUGGCGGCGUGCCUAAUACAUGCAAGUCGAGCGAACGGACGAGAAGCUUGCUUCUCUGAUGUUAGCGGCGGACGGGUGAGUAACACGUGGAUAACCUACCUAUAAGACUGGGAUAACUUCGGGAAACCGGAGCUAAUACCGGAUAAUAUUUUGAACCGCAUGGUUCAAAAGUGAAAGACGGUCUUGCUGUCACUUAUAGAUGGAUCCGCGCUGCAUUAGCUAGUUGGUAAGGUAACGGCAUACCAAGGCAACGAUGCAUAGCCGACCUGAGAGGGUGAUCGGGCACACUGGAACGGAUACACGGUCCAGACUCCUACGGGAUGCAGCAGUAGGGAAUCUUCCGCAAUGGGCGAGAGCCUGACGGAGCAACGCCGCGUGAGUGAUGAAGGUCUUCGGAUCGUAAAACUCUGUUAUUAGGGAAGAACAUAUGUGUAAGUAACUGUGCACAUCUUGACGGUACCUAAUCAGAAAGCCACGGCUAACUACGUG
RNAcentral lists this ribosomal RNA (497 nucleotides) under uncultured bacterium. Its description in RNAcentral is "partial 16S ribosomal RNA". It matches the Rfam family "Bacterial small subunit ribosomal RNA", at positions 28 to 507 of the family's 1533-position model. The record is from RNAcentral.